RNAcentral lists this long non-coding RNA (6117 nucleotides) under Capsicum annuum. RNAcentral describes it as "long non-coding RNA (CANN_LNC012106)". The record is from RNAcentral. Lineage: Eukaryota; Viridiplantae; Streptophyta; Magnoliopsida; Solanales; Solanaceae.
UGUUUUAUAACACUAAAUUGCCCCGAACAUGUGUGUCACCUCUUUUUCUAUACUUGUCAAAAAUACAACUCCACUUUUGUUGUACAUCCCUCACAUUGAAUGACUCAUCAUGCUUUCGUGGAGUUGAUUUUCUUUCUGUUCCUCUUGAUAGGAUCACGCAGACACUGUUUGACCUAAUUGAACUAUGCUUUUCAAUUGAUGACCAAGUUAUUUUUGUGAUUCUCAAAAUAAUCUCCUUAAUUUUGAAAGAAGGCUUCAACUUGUCACCAAAUGUCUCAGCACUCUACCUAUUUUCUCAGGUUCUUUUUCUAACCUUAGCCCUCUGAUUCCAUGUUUCAUGGUUAAAUUGGACUUUAAGAUCUGACUGAAAAUUCUGCAAGCAUGUCAUAUCACUAGAGUCAACAUAAAAUGUACUGUAUAAAGAGAACAAACAAAUAAUACAUAUUUAAAACACAAAGGAAAAGGAACAAUUCAUUUAGUUGAAAUAAAAGAUAGAAGGGUUUGAACAUAAACGACAAAAGGACAAAACAAGAUAGAUUUUGAACUACAAUCCUGAAAUAAUUCAAAAACCAAAAAUGAAAACAAAAUAAAGUAUCAGACCUCUUCCUAGAAGCGAGAGAGGUGACUUCUCAAUUGCUCAUCCUGACAACUUAGCCACUGGUUUGCAUAUCAGCAUGACUAGAGCUUCCCUCACUGUCAAUGUUCUGCACCAUAAUUGGUCUAUCUUGAAUCAUCUUUUCAAUUUCUCUUUUCAAAUCUCUACAAUCUUCAAUACUAUGACCCUGAGCAUCAGAAUGAUACGUACACCGUACAUUAGGAUCAAAAAUUCUUGAACGCCGAUUAAGAGUACACCCAAAGAGAGAAGUGAUCAUUCACCAUUGUACCAAUCUCUAAAAUAAACUGGCAUACGACUCUCCAAUUGGUGUGAAGCUAUCUCUCAACUUCUACCUCAUUUCAUCGUUUGGCUUAGAUUGAAAAUCAGGCUUAGAAUGGUUUUGGUAUGUUUGUGGAGUUAGAGGAUGACUCUGAGGAGUUGGUGUGUUCCACUGUGGGUAAGAUGGGGUUGAAAAGGUGGCUGUGUGUUAUAUACUGGAUAUGGAGGUGGAGGAGCAGAGUAUAAUGGAUUUUGGGAGUGAUUAUAUGAAGCUUGGGUAUGAACUUGGGUUUGAGCCUGAGAGUGACGACAACGGGGUCUUCUUGACCGUUUCCGCUAUCCAACUACAAUAGAAGAUGCAUCUUCCUCAUUCUUUGUCUCCUCAACACUUCCUGAACCCUUUUGAAUUGCUUGAGUUAUCGCUUUCAAUGUUUCAAAACUCACAAUGCGACCUGUCUUAAUUCCCUUUUCUAUCAUCUCCCCCAUUUUAAGGACCUCAAUAAAUGACUUGCUUAAUGCAGGUAACAAGUGUUGAUAAUAUGUUUCAUCCUGCGCUUGAAUAAAUACCUCUACUAUUUUGCUUUCUUUCAUUGGUGGUUUUACUCUAGCAGCUUGUUUGCGCCAUCUGUUUGCAUACUCCCUGAAACUCCCAGUAUUAUUUUUUUAUACUAGUUAGGAAUUUUUCGUCAGGGAUAAAAUCCACAUUGUAUUGAAAUUGUUGCACAAAUUCAUUAUCUAGCUCAUCACAACUAAUCCACUUGUCAAUGUCUUGGUCAACAAACCAUUCCGAAGCUAGCCCUGAAAGACUCCCCGAAAUAAGCCAUGAGUAGUUCUUCUUUCCCUUCAGCACCUCUGAAUUGGUUACAAUAGCGCCUCAAAUGUGCCUCUGGGUUCCCCAUGUCCAUCAUAUUUCUCAAACUUUGGCAUUUUAAAACCAGGAGGAAAGUUGACACCUAGAAACAUGCAUAAGUCCUUAUAUGAGAUUUGUAACCCCCAAGUCCUUGCAAGUUCUUCAUAUCCAGUUCCAAACUUUUCAAGUUUCUGGUCAUUUCCUCUUGUUCUUCUGUCAUAACAGGCUUCUCAGUGUUAGGAGAAAAUUCAGGCGGGUGAGUGUCAUCGUAAAGACCAGUCAACUUGAAUGUAGUCUUAGAAGUGUAACGCUGAUCACCAAUAAUAUCCAAUGUAGACUCUCUUAUAAAGUAGAGAGGCACAACUUGUGGAUGAACAUAAAAAAUAGGAGCUUCAGGUGGGGUAGCACCGCAAAAGCAUGAACAGCAGGUGGAGUCGAGUAUGUGGUAGUCUUGGAUUGGGGAGUGAGGAAAUGAACAUUGGAAGUGGUUGGAUAUUGUUGCCCUGGAUUCGAUCCUGAUGUAUGUUAUGACAUAUCAACAAAAAUAGGAAAUUGUGCAUGUGACACGGGAGGCAAGCUAGAAAGAUAUUCCAAAUUAUCAGUGAGAACCAAAGGAGGCGGCAACCUAUUAGCCCAAACACGAUGCAUUUCUAUCAUUUACUGCCUUAAUUUCUGAAUCUCUUCAUUAGCUCCUAAAUUCUUAUUUCCCGACCUCCCUGUCUGAUUAGUGACAACAAACUCGGUAUCCUUGUUGGCCAUAACUUUCUCUAUGACUUGGUGCAAUAUGAAGAACCAGCCAAAAUAACACAAACCAACCACCUUAAACUAAUUGGAUAAGAGAUAGCAAAUGCGUUAGAGUUCAAUAAUUUUUCAAAACCUCUUUUUUUUAAAAGAUCACCGAACCCAAGAAGGGCACAUACGUAUCUCGCCCCCGAGAGGGGAGAAUCAGGUGUGCGUAGUUUGUAAAGUCUUGCCAAAAUGGACAAUUAAACUCGUUUUCUUUUUUUUUCUUGAAACUUUAAGAACAAAACAGAAUAAUAAAUUGUCAAAAGAAUUGACGAGAAAUCUUUUUUUUUGCGUUUUUCAGUUUUAACAUCCCUAUACAAUCUGAAACCUACUAUUACCCAAGAAUUAUUUUUUUUUGAGUUUUAAAUUUUGAAUUUAAUAUGAAAAUGAAACUUGAACCUAUUAAAGGAAUUUUUUUUUUUGUGAUUUUCGUUUAAAGAUAUAUAUGAAACACCUAUUCUAAAUGAAGAGUGAAGAAAAUCUUUUAUGAUUUUUUUUCAUAUUCCUAUACAAAAUGAAACCUAUGAUUAACAAAGAAAAUCUUUUGGGGUUUUCAAUUUUGAAUUUCAAAUGAAAAUUGAAACUAUUAAAGAAAAUUUUUUUUGCAGCUUUCUUUUAAAGAAGUAUAUGAAACACUUACUCUAAAUAAAGAGUGAACAAAAUCUUUUUGAAUUUUUCAAAUAAGAUCCCCGAACCAGCAAUAGGCUGCCUACAUAUCUCACUCCCGAAAGAGGAGAAUCAAGGGUGUGUAAUUCUUCCAAAUUGGACAAUUAAGGAUUAUAGAACAAACAAAACCUUGACUUGAGAGACACGACUACGGACAGACGAUGAACAAUAUCAAUAAAAUCUUUUUUGGGAUUUUUAAUUAAAAACUAACACCAACAACUAUGAAAGUAAAAAAAAAACUUUUUGAUAUUUUCAUUAUAUAAAUAUGUACAAAGCUCCUAUUGAAAGAAAAAAAAUAUUUUGGAAUUUUCAAAUUGUGAACGCUUACUAAAGAAAUAAAAAGAAAAUCUUUUUGACGUUUUUUUUUUUGAGAAAAUGAGUGCAAAAAGUAAAAAUCUUUUUGAAUUUUUGAAUUUUGGAAAACAAAAUCCAUAAAGAACCCCAAAAACUAUGACCCUCUUCUUUUGACUCACUUUUUUUUUUCCAACACUGUCUUGUCUAUACACUUUAUUCUAACACACACUUUCCCUAAAUCAGUCCAUCAAAUGACCACGUUACCUUCAGAGAUGCAAUAUUUAGCACGUAGGGACGCUUUAGAGGUGAGUCUCCUACAAAGGACCAAGUGGACCCAGCUAGGCCUCAAUACGAUGCACAUAGCAUGACCUAAAGGCUGACCUACGUUUGAGUUCACUAACACGGCUGUUCGGGGAGCGUAUGAUCGAUAGUGGAUUGCUUUAGCUGUCCACCUACUCCAUACAACCCAACGGCUCCUCCUCUUAAAAUGAGGGUGACUCAACUAUAAGUCAUGUACACACGUGUACUAUGGACUUGUUGCAGAAAGAAAGACUCGGGUUAUGCACAUGAUACCAGAUAUAAGGCGGUAAUACAUAAAGUAAAAUUGUAAACAAAGAACAUGUAGGCACUCAACAAUGAUAAACAAUAACACAAAACAACACAAACAAAAUGUCUAUACACCUAUAGUGCCAAACUAAGCCGAUACAACUCCAAAAUAAGCUCGAAUUUUGAAAAAUCCCCAGCAGAGUCACCAGAGCUGUCACACCCCUUUUUUAACUCCAAAAAGAUUAUUUUUAAGUUCGAAAGGGGUUUUAUUGUUAAAGUGACAAAAGAUUGAAAAUUGUUUCGAAAAGGAUUCAUUUUACAAUUAAUCUCAGAGUUGCCACUUGGCAUAAAUCGGGUGUGCCAAGUCACCCUUGGAUAUCCUUUUUCAAAAUAGUUUGACUCUCUUAAACUGGUUUGCGAACAGAGUUCCGGCUUAGGAAUUCUGUUGAUCGAGGGGAAGGUGUUAGGCACCCCUCGAUCCCUUGAUUCGAGCAUGGUCGCUUAGUGGAGUAUAUAAGCUAAUUUGACAUCACAAAUGUAUAAACCACACAAAGCACGUAAAACAAUCAAUCAAACACACGAAACAAACAAAUCCAAAAUAUAAUGUUCAAUCCAAUUAUACAGUCCAAAAUAACUAAUAAAAAAAAUGCAAAAAAUAAAUCCUAUUCUAUCCUACACUAAUUCUAACAUGCUUCAGUGCUUUACCCAAUGCCUCGGGCCUUCAUCACGAACGUCCUCCGGAUACAAAAUACUUCAGGACAUUCCCCGGUGAAUAAACACAAGUACCUUGGAGCAUUCCUCGGCCAAAUGAAUACACUUCCAAAUAUGACAAAAACAAAACAUUCAACGAACAUUUUCAUCAUUCAAAAAUCAAAAGUCCUAAUUUUGCCUACCCGAGCCUACCGUUUGCCUACCCAACAUGACCUAUCAUGGUACUAUCAUAAUCAGGAACAUCAACGAACCAAAACAACAAUAUUUCAACUUAUUCGAUUAUCAAUUCCCCCAAAUCAUUCCCAAUCACAUUAUUAAUCAAUGUUAACGAAAAUCAAGCAAGCAAAGUUAUAAUCACAACAAUUAAAAUUUCUCAAACACACUAUCAAAAUAUAUCACCAAUCCAACAUGAAUCAUGCAAUCCAUAACAUCAAAACAUCAACUCCAUAAUAAAAUAGUAAUAGAAAGAGAUAGAGUUGAAAAUUUAGACCUCAAAUUUGACGUUUUAUUUCAAUGGAAUUGCUCGACGAAGCGGCACUGGAAUACCUCGAUUUGAACCUCAAAUAUAAACCCCAACUCGAAAUAGAUUUCAACGAGCUUGGAUGGAAUCGAAAGUAAAAUCGGGGUUUGCUUAACUGCUCUCUAUAGUUGUAGCUCCGGCGAGCUUCGAUUACUGAAAACGAAGAAGGAAUACGGCUGUGACGUGUUUUCUGGUGAAUCCGUCGCUGGGACAGUAACCAAACCAUGAAAAAUUAUGUUCCCUUAGCUCCGUGUUACUCUCUUCUCUCUCGAUCUCAACUCUCUUUUCUCGAUCUCCCUGUUUUGGUCCCAAAUUUUCCUUCUAUCAGUCCUUAAUUCUCUAUUUUUUUAUGAACCUUUCGAUCUCUCCGGCCAACCAACUUGAUCUCUCCUCUCACGUCAUCCUCCUGUCAGCUCUCUCUCUCUAUUUGUGUAUUGUGCGAGUAUGGUUGAGUGAUGAUGAAAAAUGGAGGAGGGUGCAUGUAUGACUGUUGCGUGAGAAUGAGUAUCAAUUGUUCUCUGUUUUGUGGUGUAUAUAUUUCUGUGUGUGUUGAGUGAUCUUGAAGAAGACAAAGGGAAAGCAAUGGCGUGUGUUUAUUCUAUUUUUGGUGAGGAUCUAUGGAAUUGUGAGUAUGUGUGUGAAUCGUGAGUGAAGGUCCCCCUUUUUUUUGUCUAGUGAUGGUGUAUAUGUGAAUGAUGUUUUAUUUUUUUUUUGGAGAGCAAAAGCAUUUUCCAGUGGGUUCUCUUUUUUCUUUUGUGUCCAGGUGUCUUUUUUUUGGUUUGGAAAUUAUCCAUGUAUCUAUAUUGUAUUCCCUGUGCGCCGCCAUUUUGUUAUGGAAAAGGAAUAAAAUGUGGGGGGUGGAAUAGGUUG